UGGAUCUUCCAUAUUUAACUUUGCAUAGCCA
This 31-nucleotide non-coding RNA is filed under the name Mus musculus (house mouse). Lineage: Eukaryota; Metazoa; Chordata; Mammalia; Rodentia; Muridae. The record is from RNAcentral.